AAGUCGUAACAAGGUUUCCGUAGGUGAACCUGCGGAAGGAUCAUUAACACGUAUCCAAACGUUAAAACCCCCCCCGUGAACCUUCAUCCUGCUCUUGUAACCCGCGUAGUUCGCAAUCUCUGAUAAAUCAUAGCCCGGAAAGUUUACAUUGAGCUUCACAUUAAACUGUGGGAUUAUUAGGGGGCAUGGGGACCCUUUGGCAAAGCUCCUGCCCGAGUGUACGGUCUACAGGAAUCGUAGAAGCGCUAUCCUUGCACAAUCAAUGACACUUUCCGACACUGACUGCUUGGAGAAACAUUGCCUAUAGAACUACCGCUUGAUUGUAACUGUUCCAAUGUUCGCACGUAGCCAGAGGUCUCUGAAUGGGUAAAAAAACCGAACAACUGUUAACAAUGGAUAUCUUGGUUCUC
RNAcentral lists this unclassified non-coding RNA (410 nucleotides) under fungal sp. RNAcentral describes it as "partial internal transcribed spacer region". The stretch from base 1 to 46 matches the Rfam family "Eukaryotic small subunit ribosomal RNA", at positions 1786 to 1831 of the family's 1831-position model. The record is from RNAcentral. Lineage: Eukaryota; Fungi.